Long non-coding RNA from Oncorhynchus tshawytscha (Chinook salmon), 3520 nucleotides. The record is from Ensembl. NCBI's taxonomy places the organism in Eukaryota, Metazoa, Chordata, Actinopteri, Salmoniformes, Salmonidae.
UAAAGAAACAGCAUUUAUAUUUUGUGGAAGACUUCUGCACAAAAACCCAAUGAUACCAUGUCCUACCUAUUUGUUACAGGUGGUGACCCCUAUAAACUCCCAGUGGAUUAAAGGACUGAAGGUCUUUCAGAGACACAGUUCUACCACAAGGUGCAAGUUUUAAGAAAUACGACAGUACGUGUAAACCCAAUAUAUCUCAGCGAUGAUAUGGCAGAAAAUGAGAGUGAUAACACUACUGGGACUGGAAUCUGGGUCCCUGCAUCUGACAGUCUUAUGACCUUAGCAAUUACACUCAAAAGAAGUCCAAACCUCAACGGGGUUGCACUACUAGAUGCUACAUAUUAAAAUACACGGUGCAUUCGGAAAGGAUUUUGUUACGUUGUAGCCUUAUUCUAAACUUGAUUCAAUUGUCUCCCCCCCCAUCAAUCUACACAUAAUGAAAAGCAAAAACAGGUUUUAGAAAUGUUAGCAAAUGUAUUAAAAACAAAGAAAUGUAAAUGGGAUAUUUCAGAAGUAUUCAGACCCUUUACUCAGUACUUUGUUGAAGCACCUUUGGCAGUGAUUACAGCCUCAAGUCUUCUUGGGUAUGAUGCUACAAGCUUGGCACACCUGUAUUUGGGGAGUUUUUCCUUUUCUUCUCUGCAGAUCCUCUCAAGCUGUGUCAGGUUGGAUGGGAGUGUCGCUGCACAGCUAUUUUUUGGUCUCCAGAAAUGUUUGAUCGGGUUCAAGUCCGCGCUCUGGCUGGGCCAAUCAAGGACAUUCAGAGACUUGUCCCGAAGUCACUCCUGUGUUGUCUUGGCUCUGUGCUUAGGGUCGUUGUCCUGCUGGAAAAUGAACCUUCACCCCACUCUGAAGCCCUGAGCGCUCUGGAGCAGGUUUUCAUCAAGGAUUUCUCUGUACUUUGCUCUGUUUUGCUUUCCCUCAAUCCUGACUAGUCUCCCAGUCCCUGAAAAACAUCCCCACAGCAUGAUGCUGCCACGACCACGCUUCACUGUAGGGAUGGUGACCGGUUUCCUCCAGAGAGUGACGCUUGGCAUUCAGGCCAAAGAGUUCAAUCUUGGUUUCAUCAGACCAGAGACCACUCUACCAUAAAGGCUGGAUUGGUGGAGUGCUGCAGAGAUGGUUGUCCUUCUGGAAGUUUCUCCCCAGAAGAACUCUGGAGCUCUGUCAGAGUGACCAUUGGGUUCUUGGUCUCCUCCCUGACCAAGGCCCUUCUACCCCGAUUGCUCAGUUGGCCGGGCGGUUCCAAACUUCUUCAAUUUAAGAAUGAUGGAGGCCACUGUGUUUUUGGGGACCUUUAAUGCUACAGAAAUGUUUUGGUACCUUUCCCCAGAUCUGUGCCUCGACACAAUCCUGUCUCGGCGCUCUACGGACAAUUCUGUCGACCUCAUGGCUUGGUUUUUGCUCUGACAUGCACUGUCAACUGUGGGACCUUAUAUAGACCGGUGUGUGCCUUUCCAAAUAAUUUCCAAUCAAUUGAAUUUACCACAGGUGGACUCCAUUCAAGUUGUAUAAAAUCUUAAGGAUGAUCAAUGGAAACAGGAUGCACCUGAGCUCAAUUUUGAGUUUCAAACCAAAGGGUCUGAAUACUUAUGUAAAUAAGGUAUUUCUGUUUUUAUUUUUAAUACCAUUUUCAAACAUUUCUAAAAACCUGUUUUCGCUAUGUUAUUAUGGGUAUUGUGUGUAGAUUGAAGGAAAAAAUAAUUGUAUACAUUUUAGAAUAAGGUUGUAGUGUAACAAAAUGAGGAAAAAGCGAUCUGAAUACUUUCUGAAUGCACUGUAUACAAUGAGCUACAAAAGCAUUGGGACAGUGACACAAUUCUUUGUUGUUUUGGCUCUGUACUCCAGCACUUCGGAUUUGAAAUUAUACAAUGACUGAUGUUAAAGGUAUUUUCCUCCAUACCGGGUGAACCUCUUACCAAUUAAAUAACUUUUUUUGUACAUAGUGCUACCUUGAUUACGGAUAGUCCUGAAUGAAUCGUGAAUAAAGAGGAGUGAGAAAGUUAUACGCACAAAUAUCAUACCCCCAAGACAUACUAACCUCUCACCAUUACAAUAACGGGUGGUUAGCAUUUUAGGGGGGAGGGGGGGGGAUGAUAUUUGUGCGUCUGUAACUUACCCCCUAAUCGUUAUUCACAAUUCAUUCAGGACUAUCUGUAAUCAUGGUAGCAUCCACGUAUAUGCAGAAGUAUUCAAAUUCUACUCUUAUUUACAAUAAAAGUGACUCAAAUGAUAAAAUACAUUAUUUACCAUUCAUUUCUAAAGGGCCGAAAAUGAUCUGAAACAUAAAAUAAUGUGAAGCACAACAAAACAAACAGCAAAUGCAUCCAACAAGUUUGUAGAGUCCCAAGAUUGAUGUAAUCAUUGCAUGCUAGGAAUAUGGGACCAAAUACUAUCUCAAAUGAGUGCAGGAAAUGCAGAAAAUUAGGUUGAAGUUGAAUUGAACUGUAUAUAACAAUCAGGAUGGAGAAAGACCCAUUGAAAUCAUUUAGAAUAUGUGUUGCCACCCUAAUGUCACGCCCUGGUCUUAGUUAUCUGUGUUUUCUUUAUUAUUUUGGUUAGGCCAGGGUGUGACAUGGGUGAUUUAUUGUGUUUCAGCCAGCCCACAUGGGACUGUUUUCGGGUUUUCACGUUUAUUGUUUUUUAUUUCUCUCCUUCCCAGGAGGAAAGCCGUUAAAGAACCACCCACCAAAACAGGACCAAGCGGCGUGGUAACGGGCAGCAGCAACAGCGGCCGAAGAAUCAAGACUCUUGGACAUGGGAGGAAAUCCUCGACGGGAGAGGACCCUGGGCACAGCCAGGGGAGUAUCGCCGCCCCAAAGAAGAGCUGGAGGCAGCGAAGGCGGAGAGGCGCUGGUAUGAGGAGGCAGCACGGCGGCGUGGAUGGAGGCCCGAGAGUCAGCCCCAAAAAUGUCUUGGGGGGUUGCACACGGGGAGUAUGGCGAAGCCAGGCAGGAGACCUACGCCAACUUCCUGUGCUUACCAGGGGGCGAGAGAGACCGGGCAGGCACCGUGUUAUGCUGUGGAGCGCACGGUGUCCCCAGUGCGGGUGCAUAGCCCGGUGCGGUACAUACCAGCUCCUCGUAUCGGCCGGGCUAGAGUGGGCAUCGAGCCAGGUGUCAUGAAGCCGGCUCUACGCAUCUGGUCUCCAGUGCGUCUCCUUGGGCCGGCGUACAUGGCACCAGCCUUACGCAUGGUGUCCCCGGUUCGCCUGCACAGCCCAGUGUGCAGGCUAUUCCACCUCGCUGCACUGGCAGGGAGACCGGGAGCAUUCAAGCAGGUAAGGUUGGGCAGGCUCGGUGCUCAAGAGCUCCAGUGCGCCUGCACGGUCCGGUCUAUCCAGUACCACCUCGCCCUGAGGUGCGUGUCCUCGGGUUUUCACGUUUAUUGUUUUGUAUUUCUGUUCAUGUAUAGUUUCUCUGAUUUAAAGAACCAUGAACUUUACCCACGCUGCAUAUUGGUCCUCCGAUCCUUCUCGCCUCUCCUCUUCGGAAGAAGAGGAGCAAAUCCGUUACACCUA